GCGCUCAUCCCGUUCAAUCAGGAGGAGAUCGCUACCUUGAUUAAGAGUUAUAUGCUUACCAAAAACAGACCUGUGUGAAGAGAUUUGAAGAAAAAUCGCGGGACACAAUGGAGGUAGGAGGCGAUUAAGUGACCAACUAAGGGAGAUGCAUAGUUUCUCCACGUUCACUAACACUGCAGAGAAAAUAGUUGAACAUGAUGAGGAGGGGGUGGACAUUGACUCCAUUAAUCAACAAAUGAAUAAAAGGGGGAAGAAGAAUGUAAAUCCCGACUCGAGAGUGUUGUUGUUCAGAACCCAAACCUUGGUAAGCUAAAGAAAGUGAAGGUUAUAACAAACAAAACUGCCUCAUCGAGCCAUGGUAAGACAGAACCUGUUUCCCCACAUAAACCCCCGGUGAAAGUAGCAGAAACCAAUACUACCGAGAAAUCAGUUGAACUUGCUGAAGAGGGGGUGGAUAUUGACUUCAUUAAUCAACAGAUAAAGAAAAGGGGGAAGAAGAAUGUUAAUUCUGAUGCCAGAGGUAAAAUUGCAUUAUAUUUCCUUUUUCUUGGAUCUUUGGCAAAAUAUAUAUGAUUUUGUAGUAGUUAAUGGAUAAUUAGAUGUAAAUUGGUUCCUCAACAAACAACAACAAUA
Molecule: long non-coding RNA, 633 nt
Organism: Cynara cardunculus var. scolymus (artichoke)
Lineage: Eukaryota; Viridiplantae; Streptophyta; Magnoliopsida; Asterales; Asteraceae
Exons: 3
Source: RefSeq, a predicted model, not a curated record